CUACGGGCGGCUGCAGUGGGGAAUAUUGCACAAUGGGGGAAACCCUGAUGCAGCAACGCCGCGUGGAGGAUGACGCAUUUCGGUGUGUAAACUCCUUUUAUAUAGGAAGAUAAUGACGGUACUAUAUGAAUAAGCACCGGCUAACUCCGUGCCAGCAGCCGCGGUAAUACGGAGGGUGCAAGCGUUACUCGGAAUCACUGGGCGUAAAGCGCGCGCAGGCGGUUUGAUAAGUUGGAUGUGAAAGCCUACGGCUCAACCGUAGAACUGCAUCCAAAACUGUCAAACUAGAGUCUGGGAGGGGAAGAUGGAAUUAGUUGUGUAGGGGUAAAAUCCGUAGAGAUAACUAGGAAUACCAAAAGCGAAGGCGAUCUUCUGGAACAGUACUGACGAUGAGGCGCGAAGGCGUGGGGAGCAAACAGGAUUAGAUACCCCGGUAGUC
This 439-nucleotide ribosomal RNA is filed under the name uncultured bacterium. RNAcentral describes it as "partial 16S ribosomal RNA". It matches the Rfam family "Bacterial small subunit ribosomal RNA", at positions 339 to 795 of the family's 1533-position model. The record is from RNAcentral.